Molecule: ribosomal RNA, 420 nt
Filed under: uncultured bacterium
Lineage: Bacteria
Description: bacterial SSU rRNA
Rfam family: Bacterial small subunit ribosomal RNA
Source: RNAcentral
AGCGAACGCUGGCGGUAUGCUUAACACAUGCAAGUCGAGCGCGAAAGUGACUUCGGUCAUGAGUAGAGCGGCGGACGGGUGAGUAACACGUGGAUAAUCUGCCUUUAGGACUGGGAUAACCCUGGGAAACUAGGGCUAAUACCGGAUAAGACCACAGGUUCCAUGGAACCAGGGGUAAAAGGCGGCCUUCGGGCUGUCGCCGAAAGAUGAGUCCGCGUCCCAUCAGGUAGUUGGNGAGGUAACGGCUCACCAAGCCGAAGACGGGUAGCCGACCUUAGCGGGUGAUCGGCCACACGGGGACUGAGACACGGCCCCGACUCCUACGGGAGGGCAGCAGUGGGGAAGUCUUGGGCAAUGGGCGCAAGCCUGACCCAGCAAUACCGCGUGAGGGAUGAAGGCCUUCGGUCGUAACCUACUGUC